AAUAUAUUAUGGGCUGAUUUCCAAUUCAUCUUUGUUGGAUGCAUCUCUGUUGUAUCCAGGAAAUAAACAUGGAGUUACUUUGCAAGUCCAACCCAUACUAUUCAUGUCCAGCAAUGAGAGAGAAGAUAUAAUUCUUUCAUAAGUUAUCAUUUCAGGAAAAAUAUGCCUAUGGUUCCCCACCUCUAUCUUGCAGUAUAACUUGCAGUUUCUCUAUUAUCCAAAGAAAAGUUGUAGCAAUUGUACAGUUCUUUUUUUUUUUUUUUUCAGGAGCAAUACAAACAUCUCUCUGUCUUCUCUCUUCUUAAAGUCAAUGAGGUAUUUCAGGAAGAGCCAAACUUAAAAGGCAGUUUAAAAUCCUUUUUAUUGUCUAUUAGUAGGGGUUGAGUCCAAAUUUUCACAAUUAUUAAUGAAGAGAGUAAUAAGAACUGCUCCACAAUGUAGUUGAGACAAUUAUAGGGACUAAGGUUUGCAAACUACUAACAAUGCCUUGGGAAAAGUAGAUACUUGAUAAACACAAGUCACCUUUCCUCUUCAAACAGCAUAGCAAUUUUAGAUAUCUUUGUCUCACUUUACUUCUUAUACAGUUAUUAUUUCUCUUAUCUCACCUAGUCAUUCAUAAAUCUCUUGAGCUUAUGAAUCAUGCUUUGUUUCUUUUUAUUGCCCAUGGAGCUGACCUAAAUUAUUUUCAUAGAAAAGAGCCCUGACAAUUAAUUUGUAGCUGAAAAACAGAUAAUAACUCGGAUCGAUACUCCUAUCACAAAACUAUAGGUAAAAUAUAUUGAUGAUGCAAAUUCUAGUAGCCUUUUAAUAUGUCAGACUGUGUUGUGUGAAUUCCAUUUGUUCUCCAGUUUAAUCUAGCAUUGUGAACCUAAGUAUGCAGUUAUCUAAAUUUGCAAAAGAGGAAACUGAGAUUUAUAGAUGUUAAGAGCUCAUUUCAUAAUCAUUCAGGUAAUGUGUUGUAGAGCUUGUCCUCAAGUCCAGAUCUUGUCACCCAGCUCCUCUGAUCCAAUUAGACCACUGUACAUCACUCACAAUCCAUGUAGGACAUGGCCUAAAGUCAUUUAUAUCUCUCAAUGUGGUGAAGUUUUGGAAGGAUGAAAAUAUCAAGCUAAGCCAUGAGGAGAUUUUGAGAGUCCACACUGCAUGGUGAAUAUUUACACUAUUAUGGGAACACUGAUAAAGUCAGGCUGAGGGAAAAUCUAGCUUGUAUAAAUUCCUCUCUAGCUAUAGAUCCCAGACAUCAGUGAGCAAGCAGCCUCCUUGCCCUCAGACUUAGUGGUGCCCAUUGCUGGCUCUUUCCUCCUUGGAGGAUCCUCUCCAAAUUAUGGCCCCAGUUCUGGUCCAUAUUUUGGAUGUUUUGUUUUGAGUUUCAGUUCUGUGCUCCAGAAGGAUACCUCCUUAUCUACUUUCUACUGAACACUGAUGUCUCAGAAAACUGUUCAGUUCCUCUCUUGCCAGGUAGUAUAGUCUAGGCCACAGUUUUUAUGGGAAGUGAUAUGAAGCCGACUUCCCUAUAUUUAUUUGGCAAAAUAGCAUCAUGCCUCAUUCUUGAUACCUCAAAUGUAACAGCAUGCAUAUUCCUGCAGUGAGAAACCCUUCUUGAUUCAUUAACAUUGGCUUUUCUGCUGUACUGACCUUUAGUUUUUCUUUUUUCAAUACCAAAUUGGGUCAUUGCAAGCCCAGACAGUGGUAUGGGGGUACAGUCAGGUCUAGGGUUGCAAAACAAGAGUGCUCCCUAAAGUGCUUGGUGAAGAUGUUGGAUCUUCCAGGCACAGAAUAUACCAACUUAAGAAAGCAAAAGUGUACUUGAGGCCAUCUACCAGGAAUGAGCAUGGUACAAACUGAAGCAAGAAUGUGAAACCAGAUUAUGUGAGUGGAGAAUCAGGUCAGAGCAUCAUGACUCUGGGAGACAGUCAUGAAUAAACCUUAGAUGUAGCCACAGUGGGUUAGACUGGUAAAGAUCAACCCUGCCAUUUAUUAAUGAACACAUUAAAUGUUCU
RNAcentral lists this long non-coding RNA (2000 nucleotides) under Marmota monax (woodchuck). The record is from RNAcentral. Lineage: Eukaryota; Metazoa; Chordata; Mammalia; Rodentia; Sciuridae.